AAACUGAGAAUGGAGCUUUGGGAUUUGAGAAUGGAGCAAUGAAAAUUUAUGACCACCUAGUUGGGCAUUUAGAGAGAGAAAGAGAGAGGAUAAUUGUUCUUUUGGUUAUUACCCAUUCACACAUUUAGAGAGAGAGAGAGUUACCUUUUUUUUUUGUUAUAACUGAUGCAUCAGGCAUUUAGAGAGAGAGAGAAUUACCUGUCUUUUUGUUAUAACUAAUGUAUCGGACAUUUAUAGAGAGAGGGGUACCUGGUUUUUUGGGUUAGGAUUUGUUAGAGAGAUAAAAGUACCUGAUUUUUGGGGUUAGGAUUUGCUAGGGAGAGAGAAAG
This 329-nucleotide long non-coding RNA is filed under the name Amborella trichopoda. Its description in RNAcentral is "long non-coding RNA (ATRI_LNC005293)". The record is from RNAcentral. Lineage: Eukaryota; Viridiplantae; Streptophyta; Magnoliopsida; Amborellales; Amborellaceae.